RNAcentral lists this ribosomal RNA (375 nucleotides) under uncultured Candidatus Nemicrothrix sp. Its description in RNAcentral is "bacterial SSU rRNA". It matches the Rfam family "Bacterial small subunit ribosomal RNA", at positions 114 to 507 of the family's 1533-position model. Lineage: Bacteria; Bacillati; Actinomycetota; Acidimicrobiia; Acidimicrobiales; Microthrixaceae. The record is from RNAcentral.
CACGUGAGAAACCUACCCUGGAGUGGGGAAUAACUCGAAGAAAUUCGAGCUAAUACCGCAUACCUUCUUACCGUCGAAUGGUGGUUUGAAGAAAGAUUUAUCGCUCUGGGAGGGUCUCGCGGCCUAUCAGCUAGUUGGUGAGGUAACGGCUCACCAAGGCAUCGACGGGUAGCUGGUCUGAGAGGACGAUCAGCCACACUGGAACUGAGACACGGUCCAGACUCCUACGGGAGGCAGCAGUAGGGAAUCUUGCGCAAUGGGCGAAAGCCUGACGCAGCAAUGCCGCGUGCGGGACGAAGGCCCUAGGGUCGUAAACCGCUUUCAGUAGGGACGAAAAUGACGGUACCUGCAGAAGAAGCUCCGGCCAACUACGUG